This 93-nucleotide transfer RNA is filed under the name Fusarium falciforme. Its description in RNAcentral is "tRNA-Lys". Lineage: Eukaryota; Fungi; Ascomycota; Sordariomycetes; Hypocreales; Nectriaceae. The record is from RNAcentral.
UCCUUGUUAGCUCAGUUGGUUAGAGCGUUACGGCUUUUAAGCGCAUUUGCUUAAACAAGGAUACCGAAAUGUCAGGGUUCGAGCUAUGAGGAG